This is a long non-coding RNA of Spinacia oleracea (spinach), 7222 nucleotides long. RefSeq lists it as uncharacterized. NCBI's taxonomy places the organism in Eukaryota, Viridiplantae, Streptophyta, Magnoliopsida, Caryophyllales, Amaranthaceae. The transcript has 5 exons. The record is from RefSeq and is a predicted model, not a curated record.
GGCCAUCUAUUAUAAAUAACAGGAUCACGGCAUCACGCUCCCCUUAUUUACAAAUUAAGCUUAUAGAAAUAAAUGGCUUCCUUUAAGUACAACAUUUUGAUGUACACUUUGUUAAUCUUACUCAUCAUCACCUCUUCAACUCUUGCUUCUUUCUCAAAAGAUGGUAUAAGUUCCAUGAAAGUUGCUUGCAAUUAUCAUGGUGGUGGUCAUCAAGGUCAGGCUGGCAGGGGCGGUGGCAGAGGUAAUCCUUGUUAUAAAUGGCCGGGUUCGCCUCGUAGGUCUUGAACAACAACCGUAAGCAGUAUAACAACAACCCCUGAUCAAUCUUCAUGUUUCUGUUUUGUACAUUUAACUUUUUUUUUAGGGGAUCCUGUUUGUAUAGCUACCUUUUCACUUGCCUGAUAUUUUUUUCCUUUUUUCUGGCCCUUAAAAACCCAUUUACUAGUCAAUAAUACAUUUGAUAAAUUUGUACGAUUCUCUUAUUUUUAAGGAAUACCAAUGGUUAUAUGCGUGCCUGGAAUCGUUGUUUAAGGAUCGUUAGGCUAUUAUAGUUCAACGUCUGACGUCAAAUUGACAUAUCUCAUUAUCUACUUAUUAAAUUGCUUGGUUCAAGUUGGAGGUAAAACUUUGGUUUAAAAGCUUUCCAACACAUUGUCACAAGCACUUGAUGAGAAAUGAGGGAGUUAUGACUGUUUUACGAGAAGUUGUAUUGAAUCAGGUAAGUUUGACCGAACAUGUUUGUGAUUCGAACAUGUUGAAUGUUUGAUUGAACCUUUUUGUGGUUCGACCGAAUGUAACAGAGAAGAAAAGAGUCAGUAAGCUCAUGGUUUUGGUGGUUUGACCGAACCAUAGGUAGGUUCGACCAAGCUUGUUAUAGGUUCGACCGAACCGUCGAGCUAUUUUUCUUCUCCACAAGCUUCAAUCAGCAUGGUCUUUUCUUAUCCGUUAGAUCGUAUCGAUGUCAAAUACUACAAAUGACAAAUACAAUAAAAUCUAUAUAAUAUUAUUAAAACUCCAAGGCAAUCCAAGUCAUCCCGACCUCUCUAUGUUGCGACGACUUGACAGUGACAUGUCAUCGUCGUGCCAUGUCAUAUGCAACAUUAUUGUUUAUUGUGUCAUCGGAAAAUUUUUAUUGUUAUCCAUCCCCGAACUCAUGAUAUCUCAUAUCUAGUAUGUUAAUGCAAAGUUUAUAAUUCAUCACUUCAACGAUAUAACUUAUGACUCUAAAAUAAUUAAACAGAAAAACUUCGUUCUUAUGAAUGUACAAAACUUUAAUGACCAAAUUUAUGUAUUUGAGUAACAAUUUAUGAUAACACAUUUUUUUUCUUUUUUUAUUCCCUUUCUAAUCAAAUCAUAUAUCUUUUCUAGAAAUUUUUUAGAUCAAACACAAAAAUUUUAAACCAUGAAAUUAAUAGAGAAAAGAAUAUCAAAAAAUAAUAUUGUGCUUUCUUUUAGCUAAUCAAGUGUGUUUUUCUUCCUCCAAAUUGUAUUUCAACUUUGUAAGUCAUGCAUAAUAUACAAUUGUAACUUAAAAAACUUAUAUGUUAUAAGUAAAGUAGUACAAAAGAUAAAAUUUUGGUUUACCGAUGGUUGGGUUAACGAAUUUUAUUCUUAAUGUGCAUAUAUAAUAAAAUUCAUAUCUCAAACUGCACACAUAAAGAAUUAAUUUUAUAAGUGAAUUUGAAAUGAGUAAAAAAAAACUAAAACUAUAUCAAACAUUUCGGGCAUCACCCACAAUGGCGGAGCCAAGUGGGUGCAAGGGGGGUCCACCGACCCCCCAAAGAAAAAUUGAAAAAAAAACCCCCCAAAGAAAAAUUGAAAAAAGAAACUUAUAGUUGAGAGCUAAAAGACCUGUUAUACUCUAUAAUUGAUCUCUUAGGUGAUACUAAAAAAACCAGCUCCGCAAAUAAUUCCAAGAAACUGAGUUCCGCAAUAACAAUAAACUACCAAGAGCUCCGCAAUAAUUAAUAAUCACGUGGUCCAUCAACCUGCAACAAUGAAUUGAGUUAAAAACCCCAAAUAAAAAAAACCUCAAAUUUUACAUACGAAGAACCCUAAUUUCGGAAUUUCACAAAUAACCUGUUUAACUACGUGCACCAUGCUGGUAAAUGGGGAAAAUUGACGAAAAUUGUUUGGUGAUGAAAUGUACUUGAAAAAUUGAAAGAGAAAUUGAUUUAUUUUGCGGAUUUUUGAGAAUUUUUUUCCGACCAAGGUGUGUUAAUGGAGGAAGAUAUUAUAAAGAGGAAGAAGAAAGGAAAAGAUGAGGGAAAUCUAAUUUGGUCGUUGGAUGUGGGUCCCACAAAACUGAAUUUUUGAUGGAAGUUCAAAUUAGCUGGUUGUUAUUCAAUGCCCUACAAAUACACAAAAACGCCAUAUUUUUUACAUGUUUGUCCUAUUUUAACCUUACUCAUUUACCAUACCUCUUUCAUAUUUUUUUUACUCUUACCUCUUACCAUCUCUCUCACCCAACCAAACCACCCACUAGGCCACCACCACUUCAUCCAUAAUCACCGGAGCGGAGCCACCGUACCACAGUUCACGGAGGUACCCCUGGAGUCCGACGAAAUUUUGUGUUUCCGAGCAAUGUGUCCGGCCUCUCUCAUCCGAUGAACUGUUCUUCAUUCAUCUACAGCCAAAUUAGAGUGAGUUGUCCCCUUUAUUUCUCCUGGGUACGUUUCCGAAAAAAUAGGGUGAGACUACAUCUAAGUGAGUGUAGCCCAUAGGGUAGACUGAAAUCGUCUUAGUCUAGCCCAUGGGGUAGACUAGAAUCGUCUCAGUCUAGCCCAUGGGGUAGACUUAUAUCGUCUUAGUGACGCCUACUCUUGCCAAAAACCAGUCAGGGCCCAAGAAAAGACUAUGAUUAAUUGAGUCUUAACCAUUGAUAAGACUACAUCUAACACAGUCAUACCCUUGGGCAAGACUAGAUCAGCUCUAGUCUCAUUCGAUCUUCACCAUUGUUGAAUUGUACAGACUCAAACUAAGCAUGUUACCAUGGAUCUAUGAUCUUCUCUCAUUUCCUAGCAAUUCUUUAUUUUUGCUGCUUCUUGAAGAAAUAAAAUACACUUAGGGAGAAAGGUGUAUCCUUUCAGACAACUUCCUCUUGUUGAAGCCUCAAUGGUGGAAGGAGAGAAGAGAUCAUCUACUAAAUUGGGAAUGUGUUUAUACACCAGAAGUAGACCUGGUUAUUGGACAGGGUAAUCCAAUGGAUAUAGGGUUAGGGUCAAGUUAAUAGGGCUUUUAUUGGGUAGGGCUCUUAUUGGACAGGGCCUUUAUUGGACAGGGUCAUUAUAGGGUCAAACUUAUACUACAAUUAUUUUGAAAAUUAAAAUCGUAAUUAUACAAAAAAUUACGUGUAUAGCUUCGUAUUUACUUGUACUUGCACAUGGCUAUUUUGUUUUUCAUUUUUCAUUGCUCGUUUAUUGACCCGCCCACUAAUGACCCGCUAUUGACCCGCGACCCGUUUUUUACCCGCCCAUUAUCGACCCGCUAAAAAUGACCCUUUCAAUACCCGACCCUCUUUUGACCCGCACCGACCCUGACCCGCCCCGCCCAAUAACCAGGUCUAACCAGAAGAAACCGAGUCUGUAUUUUUCAGUUACUUGGUGUCUAAGAACCUCACUUUGGUGUGAUCAUGGUUAUAGAAAUUUCUGUAAGAAUCUAGUUCUUUUUGGUCCAGAGUAAUUUAAACUGAAAAGUUCCUACAGUCUCCAUAGAAAUGGGUAUAAUACACCAAGACUUAUCCAGGGUUGACUGGAUUGAUACACAAGGUUAUGGAAGUUUACCUUGUAAGUGUGAAUGUGUGAAUCUAGUUCUUUAUACUAGUUUGUUUAAACGACUCCGUCCCUUAAAUUUUUGUAUCGGUCAUACUUCCACAAAAAGGAGGAAUACUUUUAAAUCACAAAUUCACAAGUUCGAACAAUUGAUGGCGCCAAUUUAUUCCAAAUUUCUGUUGAGAAAAUAAUUUGUUGUUUUGCAGCUAUCUCUUCUACCAUUAUCAUUAUCAUUCAUCUGUAAUUCUGUACAGUUUCCACGUUUGAAUCCAAAGAAGCAGCAGUAUAUAUCCUAACUUCAGUAGUUCAGUUCACUUUUCUUAAAAAUACACCUAUAUAUAAGAAGAGAACAUUCUUGAAGUGUAUGUAAAAUGAUUCUGUUAGGGUAUGCACACAAGGUGUUCGAUCAAAUGCCACAACGAGAUACAGUCUAAAAGAUCAAAGUUGCGCAGAUUCUUUUUCAUUUGAUGCCGCAAAGAGAUGUAUUGUCGUGGAAUACCUCAAUUUCAAGGUAACUACAUAGUGGUAAUCUCAGAAUUACUGGAGAUAUUCAUGCAACUUGGAAACAAGGGUUGUGCUUUGAUCAUACUACUUUAGCAGUGAUAAAAUGUUGCUCAUUUUUGGAGGACUAUAAAUUGGGCGUACAAGUGCCAUUUUGGAGCUUAAGCUGUUUUCAAUGAUAUGUAUAUUAGAGAUACUUGUCUUGGAAUGUGAUAAUUGCAGCUUAUGAGCAAAAUGGGUUGCCAGAGAAAUCUCCACGCCUGUUUGUUUUAGUGCUAGCUUGUGGAUGGAACCCACAGCAGUGUUCUGACACGAAAACAAACCUUCAAAGUAUUGCAUGGAAAUCCAUAGCAGAGUUAUCAAAUCUGGAAUGGCCUUUCACCCUUUUUGUGGGAAGUAUUUUGGUUGAUAUGUGCUGUAAGUAUUGGGUGAUCGAUGAGGCUGUGAAGCUUCAUGAUAGACUGGACUCACUGGAGCAACAAAACAUUGUUUCAUGGAAUGCAAUUACUCCUGGGUGUUUAGCACAAAACCAGAACGAGGAAGCUCUUUGGAUUUUCUCUCUGAUGCUGGAAAUGGUUGUGGAACCGGAUAUUUAUACUCAUGCAACAGUUCCAGACUUCCUGAUACAUGUACUAACCUGGCACUUUCUGGACUUGGGAAGCAGAUCCGUGCUCAAAUUAUCAAGCAGGUGUCUCAGAUUUCCUAACCUGGGGCAAGGUAGCCAUAUGUUCCAGCAAGUGUGGUCCAAUUAGAUGAUUCUGGAUUCAAGAACUUUGCGGUGCCAAAGUCAGAGACUUGAGCUUCCAGAUGAGAGGACAGCAAAAUGUUUUUACUUGAAAUGUCACGGUGAACAACAGGUGGUGUGCAACCAUGGUGCAUGUAUGCCAGGGCAUCAGCAACACCCUUGAUGAUUCUCACCCGAUUGCCCCAGCCUAACUCCUUAGCUUCAUCGUUGCUGCUUAAUACAUCAGCCAAGCUUCCUCUUUCAACAUACUUGUACACCAAGGACAUCAUAUUCUGAUGCAAACAAAACCCAUAAAACCUCACAAUGUUCUUAUGUCGAAUCUCUGUGAGUGCUGUUACCUCAUUCACGAAAUUCCUGGCUGCUACCGCUUCUUUCUCUAAAGUGCUGGUGUCGAGCUUCUUAAUUGCUAUCACUUGACCAUUCGGAAACACUGCUUUAUAAACCCUCCCAGAUGCUCCACUUCCAAUGCAAUACUGACUGUGAAAGUUUUCUGUUGCUUUAACUAUGUCGCUGUACACUAAUUUCCCAUCAAAGUUCAAUACAGUGAAUACAUCUUUUGAUCUAUUAAGCUCGUGCAUUUCCUGUCUUUUGUAUUUUUCCAGUUUUCGUCUUCUCCAAAGUAUUAUGCUGCAGGAGACAAAAAGAAGAAAAAACAGGAUGCUUGCAAAAGAGGAAGCUGCGAUUAUUAUGGGACGACGAUGUUGCUUCUUUGUUGGAGAUGAAGAAGUUUGAGUAUCAUUGCAGGGUUUCAUGCCCUUUAUUCUACCACACAGAUCCAUAUUGCCAGCAAACGAUUGCAGAGGAAAUCCAGAGAAGGUUUUGCUGUCUGGCAGUGGGCCCGUGAGGUCAUUAUCUGAGAAAUUAGCGGUUACUAAGCUGGAAAGCGAGGCUAGAGAAACCGGGAUUUGACCACUGAGAUUGUUAUGUUGAAGGUUCAAGCUUUGAAGACUAGUGAGCUGCCCAACCUCUCUUGGUAUAUCUCCUGUGAGAUGAUUAUAACUCAAAUCCAGUAAAAUCUGCAGGGGAUAUGUAUCCUUGUAACCUGUUUGAUGAGAAGUCUAAUACCCCUAAAUUUGGCAACUGGUAAAUAUCCAUUGGUAUUUCACCACCAACAGAGUUUCCAGCUAUUAAAAGAGCAGUCAAGUUUAUGGACUUUCCCCAGUUUGGUGAGAGUUGACCACCUAGUUGAUUGUAACUCAAGUCAAUGUAUUCCAAGCUGGGAUAAACUCCAAAGUCCUGAUCAAGGUCUCCAGUGAGUUGGUUAUAUUGAAGAUUUGCGGGGGUAGUGAUCCCGUUAAGUUGUUCCUAGAAAAUUCAAGAUCAGUAAGUGAUGAGAGGUUGCCUAUAUCUUGAGGUACAUGGCCAGAGAACUGAUUGUUGAAUAAGCGAAGGUCAGUUAGUUUGCUAAGCCUACUAAUAAAACUCGGGAUUGACCCGCUGAAAAAAUUCUGAUCCAGGCGUAAGAUGGUUAACUCAGUCAAGUUAGCCAUUGAUACAGGGAUAUGGCCUGAAAAUCUACUUUUUUCAAAAAAUAUGGAUGAAAGAUUUUUGCAGUUUCCUAUGGUAGAAGGGAUUGGACCCUCUAGAUAAGUGUCUUGAAUGAUAAUUGUUUUAAUAUUUACGAGACCAGAGAACAAGGUCGGAUGAAUUCGACCAGUGAGAAAGUUUCGAGAGAGAUCAAGGUGCUCAACUAGUGUUAGAUUUGAAAGGGAAAGAGGAAUUGUACCAUUAAGCUCAUUAGUUGAGAGAUCAAGGUAUUUGAGGUUAGAAAUCAAGCCUAUAUUAGUAGGUAUUAUACCGGUAAAACGGUUGUAAUUAAGGUCGAGUAAAUUUAAAUGUGGGAAUGAAGAGAAAUCAAUGGCCUCGAGUGUACCUUCUAACUCUAACUCGGACAAGGUUAUCUGGGUCACUCUUCCAUGGUUGUCGCACGUGAUUCCUUGCCAUGUGCACGGGCGUAUGUUGGAGGAAGAAUUGAGACUUUGUGGUAAGAGCCAAGAGGUGAAGGCAGACUGGUUUCGGAAGCUUUGUUUCCAUUUAAGAAGCGCCUUUGCUUCUGUUUGUCCUGGAUUGUAUGCUUUUGCUUGAGAAAACAAGAGCAUGUAAACAAAAUUGAUUACAAACACAAGGUUAAUAGUUGACAUUUUGUUUUUGUAUAUUAACUUCGUAAUUUGGCAGAUUUAAAAUAUGUAGUGUAAGUAAAUUGCAA